CGAGCGGCAGACGGGUGAGUAACGCGUGGGAAUCUACCCAUCUCUACGGAACAACUCCGGGAAACUGGAGCUAAUACCGUAUACGUCCUUUGGAGAAAGAUUAUCGGAGAUGGAUGAGCCCGCGUUGGAUUAGCUAGUUGGUGGGGUAAUGGCCUACCAAGGCGACGAUCCAUAGCUGGUCUGAGAGGAUGAUCAGCCACACUGGGACUGAGACACGGCCCAGACUCCUACGGGAGGCAGCAGCU
RNAcentral lists this ribosomal RNA (245 nucleotides) under uncultured Mesorhizobium sp. Its description in RNAcentral is "partial 16S ribosomal RNA". It matches the Rfam family "Bacterial small subunit ribosomal RNA", at positions 92 to 355 of the family's 1533-position model. The record is from RNAcentral. Lineage: Bacteria; Pseudomonadati; Pseudomonadota; Alphaproteobacteria; Hyphomicrobiales; Phyllobacteriaceae.